RNAcentral lists this ribosomal RNA (404 nucleotides) under Actinomycetes bacterium. RNAcentral's name for it is "Actinobacteria bacterium partial 16S ribosomal RNA". It matches the Rfam family "Bacterial small subunit ribosomal RNA", at positions 355 to 776 of the family's 1533-position model. Lineage: Bacteria; Bacillati; Actinomycetota; Actinomycetes. The record is from RNAcentral.
UGGGGAAUAUUGGACAAUGGGCGCAAGCCUGCUCCAGCCAUGCCGCGUGAGUGAUGAAGGCCCUAGGGUUGUAAAGCUCUUUCACCGGUGAAGAUAAUGACGGUAACCGGAGAAGAAGCCCCGGCUAACUUCGUGCCAGCAGCCGCGGUAAUACGAAGGGGGCUAGCGUUGUUCGGAUUUACUGGGCGUAAAGCGCACGUAGGCGGACUUUUAAGUCAGGGGUGAAAUCCCGGGGCUCAACCCCGGAACUGCCUUUGAUACUGGAAGUCUUGAGUAUGGUAGAGGUGAGUGGAAUUCCGGGUGUAGAGGUGAAAUUAGUAGAUAUUCGGAGGAACACCAGUGGCGAAGGAGGCUCAAUGGACCAUUACUGACGCUGAGGUGCGAAAGCGGGGGGAGCAAACAGG